AGUCUUCUGUAUCCGUGCUGAGAUCUCGUCAUACACUAGACCACAAGGGCUGAUGAGACUCUCAAGAUAAGUGAAGCA
Schistosoma mansoni is the source of this 78-nucleotide microRNA precursor. It matches the Rfam family "mir-3492 microRNA precursor family". NCBI's taxonomy places the organism in Eukaryota, Metazoa, Platyhelminthes, Trematoda, Strigeidida, Schistosomatidae. The record is from Rfam.